GAUGAAGAACGUAGCGAAAUGCGAUAAGUAAUGUGAAUUGCAGAAUUCAGUGAAUCAUCGAAUCUUUGAACGCACAUUGCGCCCGCCAGUAUCUGGCGGGCAUGCCUGUUCGAGCGUCAUUUCAACCAUCAAGCCCCAGGCUUGUGUUGGGGACCUGCGGCUGCCGCAGGCCCUGAAAACCAGUGGCGGGCUCGCUGUCACACCGGGCGUAGUAGAUUUUAUCUCGCUCAGGGCGUGCUGCGGGUCCCGGCCGUUAAAAGCCUUUUUUUACCCAAGGUUGACCUCGGAUCAGGUAGGAAGACCCGCUGAACUUAAGCAUAUCAAUAAGCGGAGGA
Molecule: unclassified non-coding RNA, 335 nt
Filed under: soil metagenome
Description: partial contains 5.8S ribosomal RNA, internal transcribed spacer 2, and large subunit ribosomal RNA
Rfam family: 5.8S ribosomal RNA (bases 1-119)
Source: RNAcentral